GCAUCCAUCAGUAUAUUAUAUCACUCAUUGUCAACCUCUGCUAUAACAACAUCCAUCAGUAGAUACUGUCAUUUGAAUAUUCAUCAUCAUAGCAUCCAUCAGUAGAUGCUUUAAUCUAGUAGCAUCCAUCAGUAAAUGUUGUCAGUAGCAUCCAUCAAUAGAUGUUGUUAGUCACCAUCCUCUUCCAUAGCAGCAUCGAUCAGUAGAUGUUGUAGAAGCAUCCAUCAGUAGAUGUUAUCAUUCAUCAUCCUCAUCAUAGCAACAUCCAUUAGUAGAUGUCAUCUGAGUCCUCCUAGCAUCCAUCAGUAGAUGCUGUCAUCUCUACCAUCAAAGGCAGCAUAUAACCAAAAAACGCUCAAACAUAUAAAGCAAAAUCAAAUCUAC
RNAcentral lists this long non-coding RNA (384 nucleotides) under Vigna radiata. RNAcentral's name for it is "long non-coding RNA (VRAD_LNC008082)". Lineage: Eukaryota; Viridiplantae; Streptophyta; Magnoliopsida; Fabales; Fabaceae. The record is from RNAcentral.